CAUUUUGUUUAUUUGCUUUUGUUUUUCUUUUUCUCCAACUACAGUGAGAAUUAAUGAUUAAACAUAUGAACUUGGAGAGAAAAAUGAGAUUCUGAAGCUUGGAAUGGAGGGAAAUGGUAGAAAAGGAUCAGACAGAGAGCCCAGGAAGAUGAGAGUUUAGAGGCAGAAGUAGCAUCUCUUCUGAAAGAAAAGACAGGAAUGAAUGGAGAGCUACCUUGCCAUGAAGAUUCACUACCUUUUCUUUGCUCUUUUAUUUCUUGGCCUGCUGUCUACCUCAGGAACUGAAGAUGCUUAUGAAGUCGUUAGUAUCAUGGAGUGUAAAAAUCAAACACUGUGUAAUUCUCAGAAUACAACUAGACACUGCUCGGAUGGGAAGGAGAUUGGACUAUGUGUCUUGCGUCUUGGAAAAAAUGCAAAGCGACUCACUAACCAUAAAGAAAUAGCAAAUUAGGAAGACAGGAUGAUCAAUUUCCUUGUCUUAUUAAAAUAAAGCCUGCUUUCUUUUCUCUCUCCUUUUA
Sapajus apella (tufted capuchin) is the source of this 518-nucleotide long non-coding RNA. RefSeq lists it as uncharacterized. The transcript has 3 exons. Lineage: Eukaryota; Metazoa; Chordata; Mammalia; Primates; Cebidae. The record is from RefSeq and is a predicted model, not a curated record.